GCGAAUGGCUCAUUAAAUCAGUUAUCGUUUAUUUGAUAGUACCUUACUACUUGGAUAACCGUGGKAAUUCUAGAGCUAAUACAUGCUAACAACCUCGACUUCGGAAGGGGUGUAUUUAUUAGAUAAAAAACCAAUGCCCUUCGGGGCUCCUUGGUGAUUCAUAAUAACUUAACGAAUCGCAUGGCCUUGUGCCGGCGAUGGUUCAUUCAAAUUUCUGCCCUAUCAACUUUCGAUGGUAUGGUCUUGGCUUACCAUGGUUUCAACGGGUAACGGGGAAUUAGGGUUCUAUUCCGGAGAGGGAGCCUGAGAAACGGCUACCACAUCCAAGGAAGGCAGCAGGCGCGCAAAUUACCCAAUCCCGACACGGGGAGGUAGUGACAAUAAAUACUGAUACAGGGCUCUUUUGGGUCUUGUAAUUGGAAUGAGUACAAUUUAAAUCCCUUAACGAGGAACAAUUGGAGGGCAAGUCUGGUGCCAGCAGCCGCGGUAAUUCCAGCUCCAAUAGCGUAUAUUAAAGUUGUUGCAGUUAAAAAGCUCGUAGUUGAACCUUGGGCCUGGUUGGCCGGUCCGCCUCACCGCGUGCACUGGUCCGACCGGGUCUUUCCUUCUGAGGAGCCGCAUGCCCUUCACUGGGUGUGUCGGGGAAUCAGGACUUUUACUUUGAAAAAAUUAGAGUGUUCAAAGCAGGCCUAUGCUCGAAUACAUUAGCAUGGAAUAAUAGAAUAGGACGUGUGGUUCUAUUUUGUUGGUUUCUAGGACCGCCGUAAUGAUUAAUAGGGACAGUCGGGGAUAUCAGUAUUCAAUUGUCAGAGGUGAAAUUCUUGGAUUUAUUGAAGACUAACUACUGCGAAAGCAUUUAUCAAGGAUGUUUUCAUUAAUCAGUGAACGAAAGUUAGGGGAUCGAAGACGAUCAGAUACCGUCGUARUCUUAACCAUWAACUAUGCCGACUAGGGAUCGGGCGAWGUUAUCUUUUUGACUCGCUCGGCACCUUACGAGAAAUCAAA
RNAcentral lists this ribosomal RNA (1005 nucleotides) under Lachnum controversum. Its description in RNAcentral is "SSU rRNA". It matches the Rfam family "Eukaryotic small subunit ribosomal RNA", at positions 89 to 1113 of the family's 1831-position model. Lineage: Eukaryota; Fungi; Ascomycota; Leotiomycetes; Helotiales; Lachnaceae. The record is from RNAcentral.